GACAGCCAGGGGUCGGGUGGGGGUUUCUGUCUGCCGAAAAUCCUCCUCCUGUGGGGAAAAGACGGCAGACUUCAGACAAUGGUGGUUGGACAUUUGCCCUGCCCCUUAUUAUAUGGUCAUGUCCACCCCACUCACUUCAGUGGGCCUCCGUUUCCUCACGGGGUUGUUAAAAUGCAUUAAUCAUUAAAAUUAUUGUUUGCCUGGCACAUAAUGGCACUUAA
Molecule: long non-coding RNA, 221 nt
Organism: Symphalangus syndactylus (siamang)
Lineage: Eukaryota; Metazoa; Chordata; Mammalia; Primates; Hylobatidae
Source: RefSeq, a predicted model, not a curated record